GCUUGUCUCAAAGAUUAAGCCAUGCAUGUCUAAGUAUAAGUAGUAUACAGCGAAACUGCGAAUGGCUCAUUAAAACAGUUAUAGUUUAUUCGAUAGUAAAAUUACAUGGAUAACCGUGGUAAAUCUAUGGCUAAUACAUGCGCAAAGGCCCGACCCUGAAGGGCUGUAUUUAUUAGACUUAAGCCAAUAUUCCUUGUGUCUAUUGCGAUGAUUCAUAAUAACUGAUCGAAUCUCAAAUUUGAGAUAAAUCAUUCAAGUUUCUGCCCUAUCAGCUUUCGAUGGUAGUGUAUUGGACUACCAUGGCAGUAACGGGUAACGAAGAAUUAGGGUUCGAUUUCGGAGAGGGAGCAUGAGAAACGGCUACCACAUCUAAGGAAGGCAGCAGG
Molecule: ribosomal RNA, 386 nt
Filed under: uncultured Scuticociliatia
Lineage: Eukaryota; Ciliophora; Oligohymenophorea
Description: partial small subunit ribosomal RNA
Rfam family: Eukaryotic small subunit ribosomal RNA
Source: RNAcentral